GUCUUUUUGAGUUAUUUUUAAAGUCUAACCUGCCCACUGAAAAAUUUUAAAUGGCCGCAGUAUUUUAACUGUGCAAAGGUAGCAUAAUCAUUAGUCUUUUAAUUGAAGGCUGGUAUGAACGGUUGGACAAAGUAUAAGCUGUUUCAUAUAAAAUUUUAUUAGAAUUUUAUAUUUUAGUUAAAAAGCUAAAAUUUUUUUAAAAGACGAGAAGACCCUAUAAAUCUUUAUAUUUAAUAUAAUUCAAGUUUUUUUGAUUAAUUUUAUUUUUAUUAUUUUAAAUAUUUUGUUGGGGUGAUGUUAAAAUUUAAUAAACUUUUAAUUUUGAAUUAAAUCAUUAAUUUAUGAAUAAUUGAUCCAUUAUUAAUGAUUAUAAGAUUAAGUUACUUUAGGGAUAACAGCGUAAUUUUUUUUGAGAGUUCAUAUCGACAAAAAAGUUUGCGACCUCGAUGUUGGAUUAAGAUAUAAAUUUAGGUGUAGCUGCUUAAACAUUAAGUCUGUUCGACUUUUAAAUUCUUACAU
RNAcentral lists this ribosomal RNA (519 nucleotides) under Ceratitis curvata. RNAcentral describes it as "partial 16S ribosomal RNA". The stretch from base 391 to 519 matches the Rfam family "Bacterial large subunit ribosomal RNA", at positions 2473 to 2601 of the family's 2925-position model. The record is from RNAcentral. Lineage: Eukaryota; Metazoa; Arthropoda; Insecta; Diptera; Tephritidae.